RNAcentral lists this ribosomal RNA (594 nucleotides) under uncultured bacterium. Its description in RNAcentral is "bacterial SSU rRNA". It matches the Rfam family "Bacterial small subunit ribosomal RNA", at positions 251 to 842 of the family's 1533-position model. The record is from RNAcentral.
GGCGGGGUAACGGCCCACCAAGGCGACGAUGCGUAGGGGUUCUGAGAGGAAGGUCCCCCACACUGGUACUGAGACACGGACCAGACUCCUACGGGAGGCAGCAGUGAGGAAUAUUGGUCAAUGGCCGCAGGGCUGAACCAGCCAAGUCGCGUGAGGGAUGACGGUCCUAUGGAUUGUAAACCUCUUUUGUCAGGGAGCAAAGGACGCCACGUGUGGCGUUUUGCGAGUACCUGAAGAAAAAGCAUCGGCUAACUCCGUGCCAGCAGCCGCGGUAAUACGGAGGAUGCGAGCGUUAUCCGGAUUUAUUGGGUUUAAAGGGUGCGCAGGCGGAAUGUCAAGUCAGCGGUAAAAUUUCGGGGCUCAACCCCGUCGUGCCGUUGAAACUGGCGUUCUUGAGUGAGCGAGAAGUAUGCGGAAUGCGUGGUGUAGCGGUGAAAUGCAUAGAUAUCACGCAGAACUCCGAUUGCGAAGGCAGCAUACCGGCGCUCAACUGACGCUCAUGCACGAAAGCGUGGGUAUCGAACAGGAUUAGAUACCCUGGUAGUCCACGCAGUAAACGAUGAAUACUAACUGUCCGGGCCGAUUGAGGUCUGG